GCCGGUGUGGUGCAGUGGUUUGAGCAUUUGAUUACAACUCUUAAGACCAGGGUUCAAAUCCCCACAGAUG
Molecule: non-coding RNA, 70 nt
Organism: Phrynosoma platyrhinos (Desert horned lizard)
Lineage: Eukaryota; Metazoa; Chordata; Lepidosauria; Squamata; Phrynosomatidae
Source: the annotation of a GenBank genome assembly